AUGCGGACCCUCAUCUCCAUCCAGAAGCCGCUCCCUUCGUCCAAUGAGAUGCGCUCCGCUCUCAUCCUUGAGGAACUCAGCUCCGGUACUGACUCCGACCCGCCACACAUGGCCUUCGUCACUGCUAACCCCUCGAGCACCAAGGGCUUCUCGACAUCCAUGGAGCGGUCUGGCGGCAAACCCCAUGUGCCCCCCUCAAACCGGCGCCUGGAGGCCUGCCGGAACUUUGCACGCGGCAACUGCCAAUUCGGUGACAAGUGCAGGUUUCUGCACACCUCUUCUCAGCAGCAGUGUACCGGCCACAACUCCAGCAGCGGCAAGCAGGUGACCUCCUGGCCCUCCAUCCAAAACCCUUGGGUUGGCUCUAUCCAGAUGUGGCCCGGCCAAGGGCGUCCGGCUGGUCACAGCAUCCUUGGUCCUCCACCCACUGCCGCUCCACACGCCUUCCAUGCUGCCACCCCGACAACAACACCUCCACAGUACAUGCCGCCUUGGUAUGGCGCUCAAUGGUCAGGCGCGGCAUGGCAACCGACCACGUAUGGUGGUGCUCCAUCGACACACCCGUACUCCUUCGACCAGAACCAACUCAUGGGAGCUUUCAACACAACGAUGCUCUCACCUCCAUCGCCAUCUCAGUGGUACACGGACUCCAGGGCCUCUGCACAUAUGACCUCGGAUCAGGGAUCUUCGCACCAGGAACGUGAUUCUCAGAUACAAUAG
Molecule: ribosomal RNA, 720 nt
Filed under: Triticum aestivum (bread wheat)
Lineage: Eukaryota; Viridiplantae; Streptophyta; Magnoliopsida; Poales; Poaceae
Description: partial small subunit ribosomal RNA
Source: RNAcentral